RNAcentral lists this long non-coding RNA (285 nucleotides) under Nicotiana benthamiana. Its description in RNAcentral is "long non-coding RNA (NBEN_LNC018857)". Lineage: Eukaryota; Viridiplantae; Streptophyta; Magnoliopsida; Solanales; Solanaceae. The record is from RNAcentral.
CUUGCUUCACUAGAUGAUCUACUUCACUUUGUAGGAAUCUGCAUUCUGAUGUUUUGUGUCCAUGGUCAUUGUGAAAUUCGCACCAAUAAUCCGGAUUACGUCUGUUUGGAUUUGACCGCAUAUCUUUUGGCCACCGUACCUUAUCUCCCAUACUCCUUAGAACAACUACGAGCUCAGAAUUAGUUAUAUUGAAACUAUGACCAGCGAAUCAUGCCAUUAAAUCCCUAUCAUCAUCUCGUGGCUCUUGGUUGUUUCGAUCGCCUCUGAACCUGGAUGAAGUCCUGG